UGCGUAGGUGGCGCGCUAAGUCAGGUGUGAAAUUUCGGAGCUUAACUCCGAAACUGCAUUUGAUACUGGCGUGCUUGAGGACUGGAGAGGAGACUGGAAUUCAUGGUGUAGCAGUGAAAUGCGUAGAGAUCAUGAGGAAGACCAGUGGCGAAGGCGGGUCUCUGGACAGUUCCUGACACUGAGGCACGAAGGCCAGGGGAGCAAACG
This 207-nucleotide ribosomal RNA is filed under the name uncultured bacterium. RNAcentral describes it as "partial 16S ribosomal RNA". It matches the Rfam family "Bacterial small subunit ribosomal RNA", at positions 568 to 774 of the family's 1533-position model. The record is from RNAcentral.